CCUACGGGUGGCUGCAGUGGGGAAUAUUGGACAAUGGGCGAAAGCCUGAUCCAGCCAUGCCGCGUGUGUGAAGAAGGCCUUCGGGUUGUAAAGCACUUUCAGUUGGGAAGAAAGCCUUGGGGCUAAUACCCUCGAGGAAGGACAUCACCCACAGAAGAAGCACCGGCUAACUCCGUGCCAGCAGCCGCGGUAAUACGGAGGGUGCGAGCGUUAAUCGGAAUUACUGGGCGUAAAGCGCGCGUAGGCGGUCUGAUAAGCCGGUUGUGAAAGCCCCGGGCUCAACCUGGGAACGGCAUCCGGAACUGUCAGGCUAGAGUGCAGGAGAGGAAGGUAGAAUUCCCGGUGUAGCGGUGAAAUGCGUAGAGAUCGGGAGGAAUACCAGUGGCGAAGGCGGCCUCCUGGACUGACACUGACGCUGAGGUGCGAAAGCGUGGGUAGCAAACAGGAUUAGAUACCCCAGUAGUC
RNAcentral lists this ribosomal RNA (465 nucleotides) under Vreelandella stevensii. RNAcentral's name for it is "partial 16S ribosomal RNA". It matches the Rfam family "Bacterial small subunit ribosomal RNA", at positions 338 to 795 of the family's 1533-position model. The record is from RNAcentral. Lineage: Bacteria; Pseudomonadati; Pseudomonadota; Gammaproteobacteria; Oceanospirillales; Halomonadaceae.